RNAcentral lists this ribosomal RNA (684 nucleotides) under Faecalibacterium prausnitzii. Its description in RNAcentral is "bacterial SSU rRNA". It matches the Rfam family "Bacterial small subunit ribosomal RNA", at positions 440 to 1150 of the family's 1533-position model. The record is from RNAcentral. Lineage: Bacteria; Bacillati; Bacillota; Clostridia; Eubacteriales; Oscillospiraceae.
UGAGGAAGAUAAUGACGGUACUCAACAAGGAAGUGACGGCUAACUACGUGCCAGCAGCCGCGGUAAAACGUAGGUCACAAGCGUUGUCCGGAAUUACUGGGUGUAAAGGGAGCGCAGGCGGGAGAACAAGUUGGAAGUGAAAUCCAUGGGCUCAACCCAUGAACUGCUUUCAAAACUGUUUUUCUUGAGUAGUGCAGAGGUAGGCGGAAUUCCCGGUGUAGCGGUGGAAUGCGUAGAUAUCGGGAGGAACACCAGUGGCGAAGGCGGCCUACUGGGCACCAACUGACGCUGAGGCUCGAAAGUGUGGGUAGCAAACAGGAUUAGAUACCCUGGUAGUCCACACCGUAAACGAUGAUUACUAGGUGUUGGAGGAUUGACCCCUUCAGUGCCGCAGUUAACACAAUAAGUAAUCCACCUGGGGAGUACGACCGCAAGGUUGAAACUCAAAGGAAUUGACGGGGGCCCGCACAAGCAGUGGAGUAUGUGGUUUAAUUCGACGCAACGCGAAGAACCUUACCAAGUCUUGACAUCCCUUGACGAUGCUGGAAACAGUAUUUCUCUUCGGAGCAAGGAGACAGGUGGUGCAUGGUUGUCGUCAGCUCGUGUCGUGAGAUGUUGGGUUAAGUCCCGCAACGAGCGCAACCCUUAUGGUCAGUUACUACGCAAGAGGACUCUGGCCGGACU